CUUUAUAAGAAUGAUUUUGUUUGGAUCGAAUCAGUUAAUCAAAUUAUUUACCUAGUUUCACUUUCAAUGUUGACAUUCUUUUCCUUUAAAUACCCAUACACGGACGAUGCAUGCGUUAUUCUAUCUCUUUCUACGGGGUUAAAUUGGAGUUCACAUGAAUACGGAUUUAAUGAGGUCGAAUUAUUCACUUGCAAGUGAAUUAGUCAGUAUCAAUGUUUAUUAG
This 223-nucleotide long non-coding RNA is filed under the name Mytilus galloprovincialis (Mediterranean mussel). Lineage: Eukaryota; Metazoa; Mollusca; Bivalvia; Mytilida; Mytilidae. The record is from RNAcentral.